AGCAUGUCCAGUUAAAUUUGCACUUCAGGUAAACAAUGAAUUUUUAAAAUAUGAGUGAGUUCCAUACAAUAUUUGGGACAUACUUAUACCAAAAUAUUUUUCAUUGUUUAUCUGAAAUUCAAAUUUAACUGGGAUUCUUGUA
This 142-nucleotide microRNA precursor is filed under the name Choloepus hoffmanni (Hoffmann's two-fingered sloth). RNAcentral's name for it is "miRNA (ENSCHOG00000014083.1)". The record is from RNAcentral. Lineage: Eukaryota; Metazoa; Chordata; Mammalia; Pilosa; Megalonychidae.